This 216-nucleotide ribosomal RNA is filed under the name uncultured Lactobacillus sp. RNAcentral describes it as "partial 16S ribosomal RNA". It matches the Rfam family "Bacterial small subunit ribosomal RNA", at positions 149 to 356 of the family's 1533-position model. Lineage: Bacteria; Bacillati; Bacillota; Bacilli; Lactobacillales; Lactobacillaceae. The record is from RNAcentral.
CCUGGAAACAAGAUGCUAAUAACCGGAUAACAAUAGAUGAUGCCUAUCAACUGUUUAAAAGAUGGUUCUGCUAUCACUCUUGGAUGGACCUGCGGUGCAUUAGCUAGUUGGUAGGGUAACGGCCUACCAAGGCGAUGAUGCAUAGCCGAGUUGAGAGACUGAUCGGCCACAUUGGGACUGAGACACGGCCCAAAACUCCUACGGGAGGCAGCAGCG